This 486-nucleotide ribosomal RNA is filed under the name uncultured organism. Its description in RNAcentral is "bacterial SSU rRNA". It matches the Rfam family "Bacterial small subunit ribosomal RNA", at positions 30 to 507 of the family's 1533-position model. The record is from RNAcentral.
AUUGAACGCUGGCGGCAUGCCUUACACAUGCAAGUCGAACGGCAGCACGGGAGCUUGCUCCUGGUGGCGAGUGGCGAACGGGUGAGUAAUACAUCGGAACAUGCCCUGAAGUGGGGGAUAACGUAGCGAAAGUUACGCUAAUACCGCAUAUUCUGUGAGCAGGAAAGAGGGGGAUCGCAAGACCUCUCGCUUUAGGAGUGGCCGAUGUCGGAUUAGCUAGUUGGCGGGGUAAGAGCCCACCAAGGCGACGAUCCGUAGCGGGUCUGAGAGGAUGAUCCGCCACACUGGGACUGAGACACGGCCCAGACUCCUACGGGAGGCAGCAGUGGGGAAUUUUGGACAAUGGGCGCAAGCCUGAUCCAGCCAUGCCGCGUGAGUGAAGAAGGCCUUCGGGUUGUAAAGCUCUUUCGGCGGGGAAGAAAUUGCACUUUCUAAUACGAGGUGUAGAUGACGGUACCCGCAUAAGAAGCACCGGCUAACUACGUG